RNAcentral lists this small RNA (593 nucleotides) under Pongo abelii (Sumatran orangutan). Its description in RNAcentral is "processed transcript". The record is from RNAcentral. Lineage: Eukaryota; Metazoa; Chordata; Mammalia; Primates; Hominidae.
AAAGUGGAGUCCCCAGACCAGCAACAUCAACAUGAUCUAGUAACUUGUUAGAAAUGGACAUUUUUGUGCCUUCUUUUUUUGGACACAUUUGUGUCCAAACCUACUGAAUCAGAAACCUUGGGGUUAGGGUCCAGUAAUAUGUAGUUUAACAAGCCCUCCAGCUUUUCCAAUUUGGGAAAUACCUGCUAUAUGAAUGCUAUUCUACAAUCUCUAUUUUCACUCCAGUCAUUUGCAAAUGACUUGCUUAAACAAGGUAUCCCAUGGAAGAAAAUUCCACUCAACGCACUUAUCAGACGCUUUGCACACUUGCUUGUUAAAAAAGAUAUCUGUAAUUCAGAGACCAAAAAGGAUUUACUCAAGAAGGUUAAAAAUGCCAUUUCAGCUACAGCAGAGAGAUUCUCUGGUUAUAUGCAGAAUGAUGCUCAUGAAUUUUUAAGUCAGUGUUUGGACCAGCUGAAAGAAGAUAUGGAAAAAUUAAAUAAAACUUGGAAGACUGAACCUGUUUCUGGAGAAGAAAAUUCACCAGAUACUUCAGCUACCAGAGUAUACACUUGCCCUGUUAUUACUAAUUUGGAGUUUGAGGUUCAGCACUC